AAACACAUUGGUCCAAGACCAAUAUCAAAAAAGAAUGGACAUGCACCAAUACUCAUAUCCAUUUUACGACGACGCGCGAGCGCACAAAAUUGGCAGAGACGCCAUUGCAGCUGCCCGCAAAUUAAAA
This is a non-coding RNA of Caenorhabditis elegans, 127 nucleotides long. The record is from Ensembl. Lineage: Eukaryota; Metazoa; Nematoda; Chromadorea; Rhabditida; Rhabditidae.